CCUACGGGAGGCAGCAGUGAGGAAUAUUGGUCAAUGGGCGCGAGCCUGAACCAGCCAAGUAGCGUGAAGGAUGACUGCCCUACGGGUUGUAAACUUCUUUUAUAAAGGAAUAAAGUGAGUCACGUGUGCCUUUUUGCAUGUACUUUAUGAAUAAGGAUCGGCUAAUUCCGUGCCAGCAGCCGCGGUAAUACGGAGGAUCCGAGCGUUAUCCGGAUUUAUUGGGUUUAAAGGGAGCGUAGAUGGGUUGUUAAGUCAGUUGUGAAAUUUUGGGGCUCAACCGUAAAAUUGCAAUGGAUACUGGCAGUCUUGAGUACAGUGGAGGUAGGCGGAAUUCGUGGUGUAGCGGUGAAAUGCUUAGAUAUCACGAAGAACUCCGAUUGCGAAGGCAGCUUGCUAAAGUGCCACUGACAUUGAUGCUCGAAAGUGUGGGUAUCGAACAGGAUUAGAUACCCUGGUAGUC
Molecule: ribosomal RNA, 460 nt
Filed under: uncultured bacterium
Lineage: Bacteria
Description: partial 16S ribosomal RNA
Rfam family: Bacterial small subunit ribosomal RNA
Source: RNAcentral